AUUGAACGCUGGCGGCAGGCCUAACACAUGCAAGUCGAGCGGAUGAAGGGAGCUUGCUCCUGGAUUCAGCGGCGGACGGGUGAGUAAUGCCUAGGAAUCUGCCUGGUAGUGGGGGAUAACGUCCGGAAACGGGCGCUAAUACCGCAUACGUCCUGAGGGAGAAAGUGGGGGAUCUUCGGACCUCACGCUAUCAGAUGAGCCUAGGUCGGAUUAGCUAGUUGGUGGGGUAAAGGCCUACCAAGGCGACGAUCCGUAACUGGUCUGAGAGGAUGAUCAGUCACACUGGAACUGAGACACGGUCCAGAAUCCUACGGGAGGCAGCAGUGGGGAAUAUUGGACAUUGGGCGAAAGCCUGAUCCAGCCAUGCCGCGUGUGUGAAGAAGGUCUUCGGAUUGUAAAGCACUUUAAGUUGGGAGGAAGGGCAGUAAGUUAAUACCUUGCUGUUUUGACGUUACCAACAGAAUAAGCACCGGCUAGCUUCGUG
Molecule: ribosomal RNA, 484 nt
Filed under: uncultured bacterium
Lineage: Bacteria
Description: partial 16S ribosomal RNA
Rfam family: Bacterial small subunit ribosomal RNA
Source: RNAcentral